UCGAUAGAGGCGCGGUGCGCAAAAGUACCUUCUCCAUAAAGGAAGCGGGCUUCCGGAGGCGGGAAAGGGCAAACCGCCGAAGUGUUUUAGCCGCCCGGGCGAAAAAUGCUGGGACGUCGGAGAAUAUCCGCCGUACUGUCACAUUUGUGGAGCGCUAUCAU
This 161-nucleotide non-coding RNA is filed under the name uncultured Faecousia sp. RNAcentral's name for it is "Lysine riboswitch". It matches the Rfam family "Lysine riboswitch aptamer". Rfam says of the family: Riboswitches are metabolite binding domains within certain messenger RNAs that serve as precision sensors for their corresponding targets. Lineage: Bacteria; Bacillati; Bacillota; Clostridia; Eubacteriales; Oscillospiraceae. The record is from RNAcentral.